Molecule: unclassified non-coding RNA, 358 nt
Filed under: soil metagenome
Description: partial contains 5.8S ribosomal RNA, internal transcribed spacer 2, and large subunit ribosomal RNA
Rfam family: 5.8S ribosomal RNA (bases 1-120)
Source: RNAcentral
GAUGAAGAACGUAGCGAAAUGCGAUAAGUAAUGUGAAUUGCAGAAUUCAGUGAAUCAUCGAAUCUUUGAACGCACAUUGCGCCCGCCAGUAUUCUGGCGGGCAUGCCUGUCCGAGCGUCAUUUCAACCCUCGAACCCCUCCGGGGGGUCGGCGUUGGGGACCUCGGGAGCCCCUAAGACGGGAUCCCGGCCCCGAAAUACAGAGGCGGUCUCGCCGCAGCCUCUCCUGCGCGGUAGUUUGCACAACUCGCACCGGGAGCGCGGCGCGUCCACGUCCGUAAAACACCCAACUUCUGAAAUGUUGACCUCGGAUCAGGUAGGAAUACCCGCUGAACUUAAGCAUAUCAAUAAGCGGAGGA